UAUAUAUAUAUAUAUAUAUAUAUAUAUAUAUAUAAUAUAUAUAUAUAUAUAUCGGUUAUCUUUCAGGUUCAGUUUGCUGUGGUGAAUUCUUCUUGAAUUUGUUGCAGCAAACUUGUGGUCAUGUAUGGUUUUUAGUUUUGUAAGCAUGCAUAGUUUAGAAGUUAGAAGCCUCGUUCAUGUAUUGUUCUAAACUGAAAGUUUAAGUGACUUUUCCACCCAUGGUAUUGUGGUGGUCAUAAUAGCACACCUCACAAUUAUAGAUGGCCAGAUCUACAAGCCCUGAGCGGUGUGUUUUUUAGCCCCCUCUGUUUCUCCUGGGCAUCAAUCUAUGCACAACAAGCUCUUCAGUGCUUGAUGGCAAAUAAAGGUUGCAUCUUAGAUAGUUGCUUGAUUUGAAUGAGCCAUUUUGCUGUCAGCUAAACUGUUAAAAGUCAGAUGUAAGAUUAUGUUUCUUGGCACAUGAGUUAUUUUUCAGUCAACGCGUGGCGAGUCCACUUCAAACUGAUAUAUGCACUUUUUAUUUGAAACUGAACCACCAUGGUUUAAUUUUAUUUUCAUUUGGACAAGUUACCCCAAGUAUCAUCAGUUCAUGAUGACUGGUUUGGUGUGGUGAAUUGAUCCUGGUGUUGCUUUAAGAGUUUUUUAUGACACUGUCUUGUAAGGGAGUAAGGUCUGGUAUCUAUAUGGCUAUUAUUUUAUCUCUUACAGAUUGCCAUAUAUGACAUGCUAAUUGUUUUUAGCUCUUGAUAUAGUUAAACUUUUUUUUCCGAAACGAAGGCAAAAGAUUUGCCUCAUCCAUUAUAUGGGAGGAGAAUAGAGUUAAACUUUGGAUGCACCAGUGCCUGAUGCAUAUGUUUGUUUACUUGGUUUGAACUCUGAAUGAUAUGUUGUUAUCCUGAUUGCAUGCCUGAUGAGUUGGUUCUGCUGGUAUUUUGAGAAGGCAAGCUGUGGUUUUACUCCUGGCCCUGAGAAGGGUGAACUAGGCCAUAGCGAGGGCGCCUUCAGGAACAUCAAGUCAGGGUGCCUCACUUUCUAUUUCAAUCUGCAAGGGUGAUACGUAUGAAGGAAAAGAGCCAGAGCGGCGCUUGGAUAAAAGUCAGUGCUGGAAUUUGUUUGGCAUAUGCGGAAAUCUUGGUAAAGGAUAAGGACGCACACGACGGUGAGGUUAGUAGGGGCGUAACAAACGAGAAGGGCGGGCGUGGCAAUGGCCAUUCAUGUGUCAGACGAAAAUUGUACACCCACAUGUGUGACGAGGCUGGACUUGACAUAUGCAACGAGCAUGGUGAUGAGGUGAGAGUUGGAAGCGUGGAUGUACUUGACAAGGAGCAAGUAGAUGCGAGCAAGCAUGGUGGGCAAUGUCGACGAUGUUCACGCGAAUGAGAAGACCAAAGAGGAAGGUGAUGCAUGCCUGUGCAUAUUUGUGGCGGAAUGGACAGUUUGUGGGUAAUUAGCCAGUGUCUUUGGACAAGUUGUCGACAGAUAAAAGUUCUAUAGUUUGGCUUGAGGAGUAACAUAGACAGGCAUGCUGGUGCUAUAAGGCUAUAUCUCUCUUCGUGGACAAGAGCAUACAAUGCUCAAGUUUCAUGGAAGUUUUUAAAUUCCAUUAUGAGGCUCAAUCUGAAAUAAAAUGGUGUCUUGCUUUA
This is a non-coding RNA of Triticum urartu, 1643 nucleotides long. The record is from RefSeq and is a predicted model, not a curated record. NCBI's taxonomy places the organism in Eukaryota, Viridiplantae, Streptophyta, Magnoliopsida, Poales, Poaceae.